UGAACGCUGGCGGCAGGCCUAACACAUGCAAGUCGAGCGGUAACAGAAAGUAGCUUGCUACUUUGCUGACGAGCGGCGGACGGGUGAGUAAUGCUUGGGAACAUGCCUUGAGGUGGGGGACAACAGUUGGAAACGACUGCUAAUACCGCAUAAUGUCUACGGACCAAAGGGGGCUUCGGCUCUCGCCUUUAGAUUGGCCCAAGUGGGAUUAGCUAGUUGGUGAGGUAAUGGCUCACCAAGGCAACGAUCCCUAGCUGGUUUGAGAGGAUGAUCAGCCACACUGGAACUGAGUCACGGUCCAGACUCCUACGGGAGGCAGCAGUGGGGAAUAUUGCACAAUGGGCGAAAGCCUGAUGCAGCCAUGCCGCGUGUGUGAAGAAGGCCUUCGGGUUGUAAAGCACUUUCAGUCAGGAGGAAAGGGUGUGAGUUAAUACCUCACAUCUGUGACGUUACUGACAGAAGAAGCACCGGCUAACUCCGUGCCAGCAGCCGCGGUAAUACGGAGGGUGCGAGCGUUAAUCGGAAUUACUGGGCGUAAAGCGUACGCAGGCGGUUUGUUAAGCGAGAUGUGAAAGCCCCGGGCUCAACCUGGGAACUGCAUUUCGAACUGGCAAACUAGAGUGUGAUAGAGGGUGGUAGAAUUUCAGGUGUAGCGGUGAAAUGCGUAGAGAUCUGAAGGAAUACCGAUGGCGAAGGCAGCCACCUGGGUCAACACUGACGCUCAUGUACGAAAGCGUGGGGAGCAAACGGGAUUAGAUACCCCGGUAGUCCACGCCGUAAACGAUGUCUACUAGAAGCUCGGAACCUCGGUUCUGUUUUUCAAAGCUAACGCAUUAAGUAGACCGCCUGGGGAGUACGGCCGCAAGGUUAAAACUCAAAUGAAUUGACGGGGGCCCGCACAAGCGGUGGAGCAUGUGGUUUAAUUCGAUGCAACGCGAAGAACCUUACCUACACUUGACAUACAGAGAACUUACCAGAGAUGGUUUGGUGCCUUCGGGAACUCUGAUACAGGUGCUGCAUGGCUGUCGUCAGCUCGUGUUGUGAGAUGUUGGGUUAAGUCCCGCAACGAGCGCAACCCCUAUCCUUAGUUGCUAGCAGGUAAUGCUGAGAACUCUAAGGAGACUGUCGGUGAUAAACCGGAGGAAGGUGGGGACGACGUCAAGUCAUCAUGGCCCUUACGUGUAGGGCUACACACGUGCUACAAUGGCGCAUACAGAGUGCUGCGAACCUGCGAAGGUAAGCGAAUCACUUAAAGUGCGUCGUAGUCCGGAUUGGAGUCUGCAACUCGACUCCAUGAAGUCGGAAUCGCUAGUAAUCGCGUAUCAGAAUGACGCGGUGAAUACGUUCCCGGGCCUUGUACACACCGCCCGUCACACCAUGGGAGUGGGUUGCUCCAGAAGUAGAUAGUCUAACCCUCGGGAGGACGUUUACCACGGAGUGAUUCAUGACUGGGGUG
RNAcentral lists this ribosomal RNA (1456 nucleotides) under uncultured bacterium. RNAcentral describes it as "16S ribosomal RNA". It matches the Rfam family "Bacterial small subunit ribosomal RNA". The record is from RNAcentral.